GGAGAGGUGCCCGAGCGGCUUAAGGGGUACGCCUGGAGAGCGUAUGUAGUGAUAAAAUCGCUACCGUGGGUUCAAAUCCCACCCUCUCCG
This 90-nucleotide transfer RNA is filed under the name Elusimicrobiota bacterium. RNAcentral's name for it is "Elusimicrobia bacterium (hot springs metagenome) tRNA-Ser". It matches the Rfam family "tRNA". From Rfam's summary of the family: Transfer RNA (tRNA) molecules are approximately 80 nucleotides in length. Their secondary structure includes four short double-helical elements and three loops (D, anti-codon, and T loops). The record is from RNAcentral. Lineage: Bacteria; Pseudomonadati; Elusimicrobiota.